GAUGAACGCUAGCGGCAGGCUUAAUACAUGCAAGUCGAACGGCAGCAUGCACUUCGGUGUGAUGGCGAGUGGCGCACGGGUGAGUAACGCGUACAAGAUCUACCUUCUACAGGGGGAAAGUCGCUGGAAACGGCGAAUAAUCCCGCAUAAGACUACAGGGUCGCAUGGCCUAGGAGUUAAAGGAGUGAUCUGGUAGAAGAUGAUUGUGCGUCCCAUUAGCUAGUUGGUGUGGUAACGGCAUACCAAGGCGACGAUGGGUAGGGGGCGUGAGAGCGUGAUCCCCCACACGGGUACUGAGACACGGACCCGACUCCUACGGGAGGCAGCAGUAAGGAAUAUUGGUCAAUGGAGGGAACUCUGAACCAGCCAUGCCGCGUGUACGAAGAAGGCCCUUCGGGUUGUAAAGUACUUUUAGAUGGGAAGAAUGGCAGUCAUUUAUGACUGAAGAGACGGUACCAUCAGAAUAAGCACCGGCUAACUCCG
RNAcentral lists this ribosomal RNA (483 nucleotides) under uncultured Saprospira sp. Its description in RNAcentral is "bacterial SSU rRNA". It matches the Rfam family "Bacterial small subunit ribosomal RNA", at positions 28 to 505 of the family's 1533-position model. Lineage: Bacteria; Pseudomonadati; Bacteroidota; Saprospiria; Saprospirales; Saprospiraceae. The record is from RNAcentral.